This 291-nucleotide ribosomal RNA is filed under the name Triticum aestivum (bread wheat). Its description in RNAcentral is "partial small subunit ribosomal RNA". Lineage: Eukaryota; Viridiplantae; Streptophyta; Magnoliopsida; Poales; Poaceae. The record is from RNAcentral.
AUGGAAAAAAUGAAGGACGCGCCGGUACCAGAAGGUGAAGAGCCAAAGUCUGUUGUUGAAAUUGUCGAAGAAGUGCUCAAGACCGAAGUCAAGCAAAGCACAUUCCUCAGGAAUGUUGGACUCCAGUCAUCUAGGAACAAGUCCGGCAAAGCAACUACUGAAGUGGCUGCUCAUGUUCGUGACCUUGAGCAGAAGCUGGAGAGGUCCGAGCUUCAAGCUGAAGUGAUGCAAGAAGAAUUGGAGGCAAUCAAGAUGAAGGCGGAAGAAUCUGAAGCUGCACGUGACAAGUAA